GAUGAACGCUGGCGGCGUGCCUAAUACAUGCAAGUCGAGCGAACAGAUGAGGAGCUUGCUCCUCUGACGUUAGCGGCGGACGGGUGAGUAACACGUGGAUAACCUACCUAUAAGACUGGGAUAACUUCGGGAAACCGGAGCUAAUACCGGAUAAUAUAUUGAACCGCAUGGUUCAAUAGUGAAAGACGGUUUUGCUGUCACUUAUAGAUUGAUCCGCGCCGCAUUAGCUAGUUGGUAAGGUAACGGCUUACCAAGGCAACGAUGCGUAGCCGACCUGAGAGGGUGAUCGGCCACACUGGAACUGAGACACGGUCCAGACUCCUACGGGAGGCAGCAGUAGGGAAUCUUACGCAAUGGGCGAAAGCCUGACGGAGCAACGCCGCGUGAGUGAUGAAGGUCUUCGGAUCGUAAAACUCUGUUAUUGGGGAAGAACAAAUGUGUAAGUAACUAUGCACGUAUUGACGGUACCUAAUCAGAAAGCCACGGCUAACUACGUG
RNAcentral lists this ribosomal RNA (497 nucleotides) under uncultured bacterium. RNAcentral's name for it is "partial 16S ribosomal RNA". It matches the Rfam family "Bacterial small subunit ribosomal RNA", at positions 28 to 507 of the family's 1533-position model. The record is from RNAcentral.